Phodopus roborovskii (desert hamster) is the source of this 1126-nucleotide RNA transcript. It is a transcript of the gene named XPA, DNA damage recognition and repair factor, with no coding region annotated. Lineage: Eukaryota; Metazoa; Chordata; Mammalia; Rodentia; Cricetidae. The transcript has 7 exons. The record is from RefSeq and is a predicted model, not a curated record.
AGCUACUAGGAGAAGCCACUCGUAGUGUGCGUGCCCGAACCCACGGACUAGGCUGGCCAUGGCGAUGGCGACGGCGGAGGACAAACGGACGUCACCGGAGCCCGCGGAGCUGCCGGCCGCCGUACGUGCGAGCGUGGAGCGGAAGCGGCAGCGGGCGCUGAUGCUGCGCCAGGCGCGGCUGGCAGCGCGGCCAUACCCCGCGGCGGCGGCCACCGGAGGCAUGACCAGUGUAAAAGCCCCUUCCAAAAUGAUUGACACCAAAGGAGGCUUCAUUUUAGAAGAGGAGGAAGAAGAGGAACACAAGAUUGGAAAUAUUGUUCAUGAACCAGGGCCCGUCAUGGAGUUUGAUUAUGCGAUUUGUGAAGACUGUGGGAAAGAAUUCAUGGACUCAUAUCUUAUGAACCACUUUGAUUUGCCAACAUGUGAUAGCUGCAGAGAUGCUGAUGACAAACACAAGCUGAUAACAAAAACAGAAGCCAAGCAGGAAUACCUUCUGAAAGACUGUGAUUUAGAGAAGAGAGAGCCCGUGCUUAGGUUUAUCGUGAAGAAGAACCCUCAUCACUCACAGUGGGGCGAUAUGAAGCUCUACUUAAAGUUACAGGUUGUGAAGCGGGCUCUUGAAGUUUGGGGUAGCCAGGAAGCGCUAGAAGAUGCAAAGGAAGCGAGGCAGGAAAACCGAGAGAAAAUGAAGCAGAAGAAGUUUGAUAAAAAAGUAAAAGUGCUUGGUGGAUCUGUCCCUGUCCUGACCAGACCACAAAGGGCUGAGUGGAGUAGACUGUAGAGUAGAAACGAGGAGCUGAUUGCGCAGUUUGCUCAGAACAGAGAGGAAUCAAAGCAAGUCUAAAGGCUUUUUAGUUGGAAUGACAUUGGAACAUGGUUCCUCUUGAUGCACAGCGAAGCUGACAUAAAACUUUCUUCUUUAUGGGAAGAAUUGCGGCGAGCAGUAAGAAGCAGCGUGUGGAAAAGAGAAAUGACUGCUCACCAACAUGAGUAUGGACCAGAGGAAAACUUGGAAGAUGACAUGUACCGCAAGACGUGUACCUUGUGUGGCCAUGAACUGACAUAUGAGAAAAUGUGACUUUUAAAGGCAAAUUUAUAUUCAAAUAAAGGCUCUAUUCAACUGUAA